GUGUCAGCAGCCGCGGUAAUACGGGGGGUGCUAGCGUUAUUCGGAAUCAUUGGGCGUAAAGGGCGCGUAGGCGGUCUCUUAAGUCAGAUGUGAAAGCCCUCGGCUUAACCGAGGAAGUGCAUUUGAUACUAAGUGACUUGAGUAUGGGAGAGGGAAGCGGAAUUCCUGGUGUAGCGGUGAAAUGCGUAGAUAUCAGGAGGAACACCGGUGGCGAAGGCGGCUUCCUGGACCAAUACUGACGCUGAGGCGCGAAGGCGUGGGGAGCAAACAGGAUUAGAUACCCUGGUAGUCCACGCAGUAAACGGUGAACACUAGGUGUAGCGGGUAUUGACCCCCGCUGUGCCGAAGCUAACGCAUUAAGUGUUCCGCCUGGGAAGUACGGCCGCAAGGUUAAA
RNAcentral lists this ribosomal RNA (395 nucleotides) under uncultured bacterium. RNAcentral's name for it is "bacterial SSU rRNA". It matches the Rfam family "Bacterial small subunit ribosomal RNA", at positions 505 to 898 of the family's 1533-position model. The record is from RNAcentral.